AAAGGCCUAGCAAGGCGACGAUCCAUAGCUGGUCUGAGAGGAUGAUCAGCCGCAUUGGCACUGAGACACGGCCCAAACUCCUACGGGAGGCAGCAGUGGGGAAUAUUGGUACAAUGGGCGCAAGCCUGAUCCAGCCAUGCCGCGUGAGUGAUAAAGGCCUUA
This 162-nucleotide ribosomal RNA is filed under the name Rhizobium sp. PjFA11. RNAcentral's name for it is "partial 16S ribosomal RNA". It matches the Rfam family "Bacterial small subunit ribosomal RNA", at positions 259 to 419 of the family's 1533-position model. Lineage: Bacteria; Pseudomonadati; Pseudomonadota; Alphaproteobacteria; Hyphomicrobiales; Rhizobiaceae. The record is from RNAcentral.